AAAGGUGUGGCCUAAUCUCAUCCAUACUCAUGUCAAUUUUUCAAUCAACUAGCCUUAGGAUUAUGAGAUAUCAUAGGCAAAGUGGAAUUUAUGAAUGAAGAAAGAGAAUAAGAUGAAGUGGGAGGGGAAUGGAUCAAAACACAAAUUGGUCAAAGGAGGACUUUUACCAACUUAAUAUCAUCCAUUCAUUUUGGGAGAUGGAAUGUACAUUCCAUCAAUCCCCUCAAUCC
Molecule: long non-coding RNA, 230 nt
Filed under: Lathyrus oleraceus (garden pea)
Lineage: Eukaryota; Viridiplantae; Streptophyta; Magnoliopsida; Fabales; Fabaceae
Description: Pisum sativum (pea) long non-coding RNA (PSAT_LNC016390)
Source: RNAcentral